RNAcentral lists this small nuclear RNA (294 nucleotides) under Ursus maritimus (polar bear). Its description in RNAcentral is "7SK RNA (ENSUMAG00000018282.1)". It matches the Rfam family "7SK RNA". From Rfam's summary of the family: 7SK was discovered as an abundant small nuclear RNA in the mid-70s but a possible function has only recently been suggested. Two independent studies have found that 7SK RNA binds the CDK9/cyclin T complex (known as elongation factor P-TEFb). The record is from RNAcentral. Lineage: Eukaryota; Metazoa; Chordata; Mammalia; Carnivora; Ursidae.
GGAUGUGAGGGCGAUCUGGCUGUGACAUCUGUCACCCAUUGAUCGCCAGGAUUGAUUCAGCUGAUCUGGCUGGCUAGGUGGGUGUCCCCUUCCUCCCUCACUGCUUCAUGUGCGUCCCUCCCGAAGCUGCGCGCUUGGUCGAAGAGGACGACCUUCCCCGAUAGAGGAGGACCGUUCUUCGGUCAACGGUAUACGAGUAGCUGCGCUCCCCUGCUAGAACCUCCAAACAAGCUCUCAGAUGGCUUCAUCAAGGGCUUGUCUUGCCAGUAAUCUCACUGAUGGAGUCUUCAGACU